GCCCUUAGAGUUUGAUCCUGGCUCAGGACGAACGCUGGCGGCGCGCCUAACACAUGCAAGUCGAACGAGCGAGAGGAGGUUUACUUUCUCAAGCGAGUGGCGAACGGGUGAGUAACGCGUGAGGAACCUGCCUCAAAGAGGGGGACAACAGUUGGAAACGACUGCUAAUACCGCAUAAGCCCACGACCCGGCAUCGGGUAGAGGGAAAAGGAGCAAUCCGCUUUGAGAUGGCCUCGCGUCCGAUUAGCUAGUUGGUGAGGUAAUGGCCCACCAAGGCGACGAUCGGUAGCCGGACUGAGAGGUUGAACGGCCACAUUGGACUGAGACACGGCCCAGACUCCUACGGGAGGCAGCAGUGGGGAAUAUUGCACAAUGGGGGAAACCCUGAUGCAGCGACGCCGCGUGGAGGAAGAAGGUCUUCGGAUUGUAAACUCCUGUUGUUGAGGAAGAUAAUGACGGUACUCAACAAGGAAGGACGGCUACUCUG
This 487-nucleotide ribosomal RNA is filed under the name uncultured bacterium. RNAcentral's name for it is "bacterial SSU rRNA". It matches the Rfam family "Bacterial small subunit ribosomal RNA", at positions 1 to 505 of the family's 1533-position model. The record is from RNAcentral.